CAUUGUUUUUUGAAAGAGGAUGAGUAUAAUUAUUUUUUAACAUUGGCUCUUUUGUGUUACAGGCAAUCUGUUACCACACAUUUUCAUAUUCACUUCAGAAAGGAAACAAAAUAGAAGUGUGGAUGCAUGUUAAUUACCCAAAAACAUGGUGCACCAGAUGGCCACCACUGACUGCCUCCGACUCCUGGCCACAGUUACUCACACAGGAGCCAAACCCCUUCAUUAAAGAAUAAUUUAUGACAGACCAGCCAGCAUUUUAAACAAAAGAGUUUUGGGGAAGG
Molecule: long non-coding RNA, 281 nt
Filed under: Dasypus novemcinctus (nine-banded armadillo)
Lineage: Eukaryota; Metazoa; Chordata; Mammalia; Cingulata; Dasypodidae
Description: lncRNA (ENSDNOG00000051877.1)
Source: RNAcentral